This 212-nucleotide long non-coding RNA is filed under the name Cricetulus griseus (Chinese hamster). Its description in RNAcentral is "lncRNA (ENSCGRG00000026443.1)". Lineage: Eukaryota; Metazoa; Chordata; Mammalia; Rodentia; Cricetidae. The record is from RNAcentral.
AUGGCCUUGGGAAAGAGAAAGAAAAGGAAGAAGACACACAUCUCAAAUUCAGCCUGAGGUCUGCAAAGUUUGACACUGUAGCUUCAUUUCCACAGCUAUGACUCAUGGGUUUACCUUCAGUGGCUACCACACUUUUCCUGUUUCUGUGACAAAUAACACAAAUUUAACUCUGAAGCUGCGAUUCUUUGCUUGAUGGUCCUAAUGAAGAGCUG